UACGUAGGGUCCGAGCGUUGUCCGGAAUUAUUGGGCGUAAAGCGCGCGCAGGCGGCCUUUUAAGUCUGAUGUGAAAUCUUGCGGCUCAACCGCAAGCGGCCAUUGGAAACUGGGAGGCUUGAGUACAGAAGAGGAGAGUGGAAUUCCACGUGUAGCGGUGAAAUGCGUAGAUAUGUGGAGGAACACCAGUGGCGAAGGCGACUCUCUGGUCUGUAACUGACGCUGAGGCGCGAAAGCGUGGGGAGCAAACAGG
This 253-nucleotide ribosomal RNA is filed under the name uncultured bacterium. RNAcentral's name for it is "partial 16S ribosomal RNA". It matches the Rfam family "Bacterial small subunit ribosomal RNA", at positions 524 to 776 of the family's 1533-position model. The record is from RNAcentral.